CCUACGGGCUGCACCAGUAGGGAAUCUUCGGCAAUGGACGAAAGUCUGACCGAGCAACGCCGCGUGAGUGAAGAAGGUUUUCGGAUCGUAAAACCCUGUUGGUAGAGAAGAACGUUGGUGAGAGUGGAAAGCUCAUCAAGUGACGGUAACUACCCAGAAAGGGACGGCUAACUACGUGCCAGCAGCCGCGGUAAUACGUAGGUCCCGAGCGUUGUCCGGAUUUAUUGGGCGUAAAGCGAGCGUGGGUGGUUUAUUAAGUCUGGUGUAAAAGGCGGUGGCUCAACCAUUGUAUGCAUUGGAAACUGGUAGACUUGAGUGCAGGAGAGGAGAGUGGAAUUCCAUGUGUAGCGGUGAAAUGCGUAGAUAUAUGGAGGAACACCGGUGGCGAAAGCGGCUCUCUGGCCUGUAACUGACACUGAGGCUCGAAAGCGUGGGGAGCAAACAGGAUUAGAUACCCGCGUAGUC
RNAcentral lists this ribosomal RNA (465 nucleotides) under uncultured bacterium. RNAcentral's name for it is "bacterial SSU rRNA". It matches the Rfam family "Bacterial small subunit ribosomal RNA", at positions 338 to 795 of the family's 1533-position model. The record is from RNAcentral.